UACGUAGGGGGCAAGCGUUUGUCCGGAUUUAUUGGGCGUAAAGAGCGUGUAGGCGGUCAGGUAGGUCCGUUGUGAAAACUCGAGGCUCAACCUCGAGACGCCGAUGGAAACCAUCUGACUAGAGUCCGGAAGAGGAGAGUGGAAUUCCUGGUGUAGCGGUGAAAUGCGUAGAUAUCAGGAGGAACACCGAUGGCGAAGGCGGCACUCUGGGCCGAUACUGACGGCUGAGGAGCGAAAGCGUGGGGAGCGAACAGG
RNAcentral lists this ribosomal RNA (255 nucleotides) under uncultured bacterium. RNAcentral describes it as "partial 16S ribosomal RNA". It matches the Rfam family "Bacterial small subunit ribosomal RNA", at positions 524 to 776 of the family's 1533-position model. The record is from RNAcentral.